AAUUAAAUUUUCUAAAUAACAAAAAUCCAAAUUUCUAAUUGUACUAGAAAAUCUGAAUCAAAGAUUUUAAUUUGUCAAUUAACAAUUAAAUGAAAAUAAUUCCUAGACCUAGCCUUCCAUGACUUCAUUCUCUCCUGUUUGAAGAAAACUCAACAUCGAGUUUUAUAGUAUUGAAGAAUCAAGAACUGAAUUUGGAGAAUAAGCAGCCCUAUCUUCUUGGAUGUUAGCAAUAAGAUUGAAACAAUGAA
This 248-nucleotide unclassified non-coding RNA is filed under the name Hevea brasiliensis (rubber tree). Lineage: Eukaryota; Viridiplantae; Streptophyta; Magnoliopsida; Malpighiales; Euphorbiaceae. The record is from RNAcentral.